Molecule: ribosomal RNA, 468 nt
Filed under: uncultured bacterium
Lineage: Bacteria
Description: partial 16S ribosomal RNA
Rfam family: Bacterial small subunit ribosomal RNA
Source: RNAcentral
GGCGAACGCUGGCGGCGUGCUUAACACAUGCCAGUCGAACGGAAAGGCCCUGCUUUUGUGGGGUGCUCGAGUGGCGAACGGGUGAGUAACACGUGAGUAACCUGCCCUUGACUUUGGGAUAACUUCAGGAAACUGGGGCUAAUACCGGAUAGGAGCUCCUGCUGCAUGGUGGGGGUUGGAAAGUUUCGGCGGUUGGGGAUGGACUCGCGGCUUAUCAGCUUGUUGGUGGGGUAGUGGCCUACCAAGGCUUUGACGGGUAGCCGGCCUGAGAGGGUGACCGGCCACAUUGGGACUGAGAUACGGCCCAGACUCCUACGGGAGGCAGCAGUGGGGAAUAUUGCACAAUGGGCGGAAGCCUAAUGCAGCAACGCCGCGUGCGGGAUGACGGCCUUCGGGUUGUAAACCGCUUUCGCCUGUGACGAAGCGUGAGUGACGGUAAUGGGUAAAGAAGCACCGGCUAACUACGUG